GCAUAGUGAGCAUGGUAGUUUGUCCGAGUUGAAUUGGUUUAAAGUCAAAUCGAGGUAAUGAACACACAUUUGUUUCAUGUAACUCACUGGAUCGUGAAUAAGCAAAACAGCAUUUAGUACAACGAUGCCGUUCGUCUGUGCACAAGGCCACGAGCAUCAAGACAAAAAAGGAAGAAAUGACUGUAACAAGUACCAUACAAAAAAGUUAGAUCAUCAACUGGAACUGAAUGAACAGAAAUUCAGACAUACCAAGGAAAUGAUUGGUUGUCAUCUACCUGCUUCUUUCAUGAUAAACCAUGGUAGAAAGUCCAACGUUCAGGCGAUAGAGUACUAGAUCAUCGUGAUGUCGUAGACGGAAUUUAACAAACCCACAUCAGAUAAAUCAUUAACUGUUAUUAACAUGCUGAAAACGUUUGCUUGGUCCGCAAUAUUACCAUUUAACUGAUAUGUGUUUAGAGCCUUUCACACUGUAUAAGUGUUAG
This is a long non-coding RNA of Mya arenaria, 482 nucleotides long. RefSeq lists it as uncharacterized. The record is from RefSeq and is a predicted model, not a curated record. The transcript has 4 exons. Lineage: Eukaryota; Metazoa; Mollusca; Bivalvia; Myida; Myidae.